This is an RNA transcript of Cucumis melo (muskmelon), 2128 nucleotides long. RefSeq lists it as uncharacterized. NCBI's taxonomy places the organism in Eukaryota, Viridiplantae, Streptophyta, Magnoliopsida, Cucurbitales, Cucurbitaceae. The transcript has 4 exons. The record is from RefSeq and is a predicted model, not a curated record.
UCGUUCUCUACUUUCUUAGGCUUUCAUAAUAUAGUAAGAGAUGAAAAAAAAAAAGCUACAAAAAACCACCUCUUCCUCCUCUGAGCCUGUCUGAACCCUAGUCUUCGACAACUGCCUCCACCCUCCUCUAAUUUCUUGAAGUCCGAUUACUUAAUAGAUCUAAGUAUUACGAUUUUGUAAUAUGUUUACAUUAAUCACUGAAGUCCGAUUAGCUCGUGCUCGUUGUUGAAAUCAUCGAUCUCGCAUGAUGAAAUGCCUCUUUCCAUCUGUUACAAUGUUGAAGAAGAGAAGGCCGUUGAUGAUCUUAGCAUUGGUUUCAAUUUCCACGAAAAUGGUUUUCUUCAUGAGGACUACGUUUGAUUCUUAUAGUGGUAAUUUGAGAAUAGACGUUUUGUGGAAGAAAAGGGUAUCGACUCAAAGAUUCGCUCUUCCCUAAUCAAGAGAAAAGCUCUGAAUCCUCGAUUUCAUGAGGUCUAAGCUCGUUCUCUUUGUCUGACAUGAGCUCUCUCUUUCUUGUAUUAUUGGAUUCGUAUUUCCUUUAUAACCCACUUAGCCAUUGUCAUUAGGAAGGAAAUUUUUAUAGAAAUUUGACUGAGAGCUUUUAGUUUGGCUACUGGUGGGCCUCUACUACUCAUAGAGCCUGCAUUUUUGUUGAGAGGUGUUGGUACUCAAGUUGUUUGGAUUACUGAUCAAAAGCCACUAGAGGCUGAUAAAGUUGUAUACAGUUUGGAGCUCAAGAUGUUAGAUUGAGGAGCGUUGGUUAAAUUAAUCUUUUAAUUUGUCUGCACUUCAGGAACUCUUUGAUUACUGUAAUGCUAAAUUAAUUAAGAAGGGAAUAGGUUUACUUUUGUCUCAUAUGCACUUUUAGGGUCAUAAUGCAUAAUGUAAUCAUGUGAUUUGUUUGUUUGUUUAGUGUAAUUCUUCUUAAACGAUCAAAUAUUUGGUUUUCUCAAUUACAUUGUUUUGGCUUCCAUAUUUAGCUGCUAAGGCUAAGUUGUGACCCUUUAAAAUGUUAUUGUACUAUCAUUAUUAAUGAUCAAGUUAUUUAUAUUCUUGGAACUUGGUAAAAUUAGCAGAAUAGUAGCAAAUUCUACAUGUUCUUAAGUUGAUAGUAUAUUAUGUCUCUUUUUUUUUGAAGAAAAGGUCUACUUGUUUUUUUUCUCUUUAUAUUGUUGGUGACCAAGGUUAAGAUUUUCCUUCUCUAAGUUUCAUCUGCUAAGGAACAAGAAGCCGUGGAGACUGCUCUGAAAGCUCAAUUAGUUAUUCUAAAUACUGCUGUUGCUGGGAAAUGGUUGGAUGUUGUCCUUAAGGAGAAUGUUCCCCAUGUCCUUCCCAAGGUUCUGUGGUGGAUUCAUGAGAUGCGAGGGAUUUAUUUCAAAGUCUGAGUAUGUGAAGCACCUCCCUUUUGCUGGAGGUGCCAUGAUUGAUUUACACAACUACAAAAUACUGGAAAAACAGAGCAUGGGAUCGAUUGGGGAUAUGAUGGUGCAUCAUACUUGUCGACUUUGGAAUUAUAUGAUCCUUCCAGGAAUAUGAUUAAAUCUCUCAUGGCAAUGAGAUCUGUACGUGGAUAUGCUUUUGUUGCUUGGUUGAAUAGUCAGCAUUAUGUUUUGGGUGGUGGUAAUCGUUGUGUAUGGUAUAACACUGUUGAAUCCUAUAACCUAGAGACUGAUUAGUGGACCUUGUCCCCCUUUCUUAAAUUUAGCGAAGGGAAGCCUCAGAGGAGUUAGCAUUGGCAACAAAUUAUUUGCCAUUGGUGGCGGAAAUGGUAUUGAGUCCUUGACAGAUGUUGAAAUGCUUACCUUAGAUAUUGGGCGAUGGAUUUGUACAAGGUCAAUGCUACAAAGGCGAUUUGUUGCUGGUGCAGUGGAGCUCAAUGGCAUACUUUAUGCAUCAGAGGGGUUUGAUGGUAGUGACUAUUUGAAGUAAGAUACAUGACGAUUUUUUUUUUCAUAGACCCAUCUCAUUUGAUGGUAGUGACUAUUUGAGUUGGCUUGAAAGAUUUAAAAUUUGAGUUGCUAGUAUGAAUGAAAAGCGAGGAUGUCAUUCAUUGGUGACUUUGAACAAGAAACUAUAAGCCAUUUCUUUGUUAUGGUUAAUGGAUAACUAUUUUCAAGAUCCUUUUCAA